Molecule: ribosomal RNA, 250 nt
Filed under: uncultured bacterium
Lineage: Bacteria
Description: partial 16S ribosomal RNA
Rfam family: Bacterial small subunit ribosomal RNA
Source: RNAcentral
UAGGGAAUAUUGGUCAAUGGGCGCAAGCCUGAACCAGCCACGCCGCGUGCGGGAAGAAGGCCCUUCGGGUCGUAAACCGCUUUUGCCGGGGGAUAACGGAGGGCUACACGCCCUCGUGCAGGUACCCGGCGAAUAAGCCACGGCUAACUACGUGCCAGCAGCCGCGGUAAUACGUAGGUGGCAAGCGUUGUCCGGAUUUACUGGGUUUAAAGGGUGCGUAGGCGGUCUUUUAAGUCAGGCGUCAAAGACA